Long non-coding RNA from Panicum hallii, 820 nucleotides. RefSeq lists it as uncharacterized. The transcript has 3 exons. NCBI's taxonomy places the organism in Eukaryota, Viridiplantae, Streptophyta, Magnoliopsida, Poales, Poaceae. The record is from RefSeq and is a predicted model, not a curated record.
UUCGCCGACCCCUUCUCUCCCCUCCUCCUCCUCCUCUCUAUCUACCACUCUCGCUGGAGACCACCGGCAGCCCGAUCCCCUUGCACUGCCGCCUCAUGGAGGCCCAACCUUCUCACGCGCACGCACCCGGAGCCCCCGUGCUCCUCUCACUGCAGCCGCGGGGGACCGGAGAACUGGUGAGGCAGCGGCGGCGCAACCCUAGAGCGAAUGACCGUACCGUAGGUGCACAGGGUCCUGGGCGAGGCUAGCGCCGGCGGAUCGAGACGGCUGGCACAGAGGAUCGGAGGAUCUCGACAUGGGGCGGAGUUUGACCCCGGUGCACGCCACAUGCGUCGCACGGGCAUGCGCCGGUGCAAGGGCUAGCGCGAGACCUUUCCACGCCAUCGGCAAGGAUACCCAACCCCCCUGCGUUGCGCUGGUGGUUUGGUGGAUGGAGCACGGCUCGCAGUUGCGGAUCUUUCAAAUGCAUCAGCUAGCUUCCUUCAACUAGGGUCCCAACCUCCACAGCGACGCACUGGUGAACAGGUUGCACCACUUAGGUGCAGAUAUUGUCAUGGCUAUUAGGUUCUAGAGGAGGCGUGAAGACUUGUUUUCGAUAUGUUUAGAUGACAGUCCCUUCAGGUUCGAAAUGCAUUAUGUGUUUUUUCAAGGGAGGAGAGGGUGAAACUGAAAAAACUGAUGUGCUGAAUGACGGUACUUUAUUCUAAGGGUGCCUCAUCAUGUAUUAUUUUUGCUUGAUAUUUGUGUUCUAAUAUACCUGAUGGUGUUUGAUGUCUCUUUUUAGCCUGAAAUGACGACACACCUUUGAUGCGGAAUGAUA